This is an RNA transcript of Alosa sapidissima (American shad), 2211 nucleotides long. It is a transcript of the gene named 3-hydroxyanthranilate 3,4-dioxygenase, with no coding region annotated. NCBI's taxonomy places the organism in Eukaryota, Metazoa, Chordata, Actinopteri, Clupeiformes, Clupeidae. The transcript is spliced from 11 exons. The record is from RefSeq and is a predicted model, not a curated record.
GUUACAUAUUAUCUCGGUUCUGCAUUUUGGACCUAACAGUCAUAAACAUGAUAAGGGAAUUUCGUCAGUCCUGGAGUCUGCAGCUCAGGCGAAGAGGGAGGACAGCGUCUGACUUACUGAAACUCAUUACUUACCUUCUCAUAGGGUUUGUAGAAAUGGCUAACGAACCACUCUUCGUCAAUGUGAGCAAGUGGAUUUCGGAGAAUGAAAAUGCCUUCCUGCCGCCAGUGUGCAACAAACUCAUGCAUUUUCGCCAGCUGAACAUCAUGUUUGUGGGCGGUCCCAACACUAGGAAGGAUUAUCACAUUGAAGAAGGUGAAGAGCUCUUCUAUCAGAUCCAUGGGGACAUGUGUCUGAAAAUAGUGGAGAAUGGAAAGCACAAGGACAUCCACAUCCGUGAGGGAGAGAUGUUUCUGCUCCCCGCUCGGAUCCCGCACUCCCCACAGCGGCAGGCCAAAACAGUGGGUUUGGUGGUGGAGCGCAGGAGACUGCUAACUGAGAAAGAUGCCCUCAGGUACUAUGUGGACAACAGCACUGAGAUCCUGUGGGAACGCUGGUUCCACUGCAAGAACCUGGGAACCCAGCUGGUACCUGUCAUUAAAGAAUUUUUUGCUUCUGAGGAGCACCGCACUGGGAAGCCAAACCCAGCGGACCCACCCAAGAAAGCCCCCUUCCCCCUGAACACUGUAAGCGUGAUGGCACCAUUCCGCUUCAAGGACCGUGUGGAUGGUCUCGGUGCCGAUAUCGCCAGUGGCAAACCAGUGGACAUGUUUGGGCCGGAGUUCGAGACAGAGGUGCUGUUGCUUGGGCCAGGGGAGACCAACACCACCAAGCAUGAGACUGAUCGCUGGAUCUGGCAACUGGAGGGUUCCUCAGAGGUCACUCUCAACGGUGAAAAGUUCAACCUCACCAUGGGAGACAGUGUGCUGAUACCUGAGAAGAACGAAUAUCACUGGAAGAGAAGUAAGGACUGCAUUUCUUUGUUUGUUGCUCAAGACCAUGACCGUAAAAAACCCUUCUAAUCAGCCUCAGCCUUCUCCGGAUGUCUCUGUGUGUGUAAGUGAGUUUCCAAGAGAUAGACAUAGAACAAUAUGGGAUAUUGCAUUAGGUGUACAAUUGCUAAACUUACUUAUUCCUUAUUGUUAAACUUUAAUCUUUAAUCGAUCAUCGCAGGGUUUUUCUUGCAAGAUGGUACAACUUGUUUGCACAAUUGGUUCAAAGCUGACUCAGGCAGACACAUAUCAGGGUUAACAGUCUAGUGACAUUCUUAUGUGAGAUGUGGGCCUGAUGCACUUUAUGUUGCAAGCUCACUAUCAAUGCUAUCAUAGGCUUGUCAAUUACUUCACACAGGACUCGAUAACCACGAAAUCUCAGGUUUAUGUUUCAAAUAAUUUAACUGUUACCAUACUGGCAUACUACAUUCUCUUAAAGCACAAUGCUAUAGUGAAUAACUAAACUGCAUUCCACAGUGUAUAUAUUUUUUUGUAAUUGAUCAAUAAUGUGGGUAAAUAAUUAUUAUAGUGGCCCCAAUCUCGGCAUCCUAUAUAAUAAUGAGAUAAAAUGGCUUGUGUUAUGCAGACGCUUUUAUCAAAGUAACAUGGUUGGACUGGUAACAGCGGGCUGGGAAUUCAAAUCCAGGGAGACCAGUUUGGGUCUUUUUUUGUAAUAUUUAGCAAGAAUGUAUUUUUACUUUGUAUCAACACAUGUAAUUUUUACUACUUAAUUAGUGCAAUGUAAAGUUAGCACAGGAACAGUGUAUGUUGUCCUAAAAUACGCUUCUUAUUAACAUUAUGAUAAAGUGUGCCUCUUUAUCUCAGGGAGGAAGAUGAUUAUAUGUAGAUGAGAAAGAUCAGGCCUCCUCAGAUUACAUUACAAACUAGACAGAGUAUAGACAUUGUAUAUGACUUUCAACUCUGCUAGACUGUGUGUUCACUGACUGAAAAGAAAUCAAUGAGGAAUGGUGGGUGAUUCGGCUGUUAGUUCUGGAAUUCCUGGAACUUCCAUGUAAACAUCUGUGUGUGUGCCUGUGUGUGUGUCUCUGUGUGUCUGUGUGAGAAAAUACAUACGGAAAAGAUAGCCUAACAGGGAAUGUAAAUGAUCGCGUGGGAUCUCCUUGCUGUCAACACUUCAUUGUUCAACCGAUUCCUAUCAGCCUCUGGAAGAUCAUUGAUAUAAUCAACUUGAUAGUCUUACUAAAAAUGUGUAAACAUG